RNAcentral lists this ribosomal RNA (253 nucleotides) under uncultured bacterium. RNAcentral describes it as "partial 16S ribosomal RNA". It matches the Rfam family "Bacterial small subunit ribosomal RNA", at positions 524 to 776 of the family's 1533-position model. The record is from RNAcentral.
UACGUAGGUGACCAGCGUUGUCCGGAUUUACUGGGCGUAAAGAGCGCGCAGGCGGUCGUUCAAGUCGAGUGUGAAAGCCCCCGGCUCAACUGGGGAGGGUCAUUCGAUACUGAUCGACUCGAAGGCAGGAGAGGGAAGCGGAAUUCCCGGUGUAGUGGUGAAAUGCGUAGAUAUCUGAAGGAACAUCAGUGGCGAAAGCGACUUCCUGGACCAAUACUGACGCUCAGGUGCGAAAGCGUGGGGAGCAAACAGG